AGAGUUUGAUCCUAGCUCAGGAUGAACGCUAGCGGCAGGCCUAACACAUGCAAGUCGAGGGGCAUCGGGAUUGAAGCUUGCUUCAAUUGCCGGCGACCGGCGCACGGGUGCGUAACGCGUAUGUAACCUACCUAUAAACAGGGGGCAUAACACUGAGAAAUUGGUACUAAUUCCCCAUAAUAUUCGGAGAGGCAUCUCUCCGGGGUUGAAAACUCCGGUGGUUAUAGAUGGACAUGCGUUGUAUUAGCUAGUU
This 253-nucleotide ribosomal RNA is filed under the name uncultured bacterium. RNAcentral describes it as "partial 16S ribosomal RNA". It matches the Rfam family "Bacterial small subunit ribosomal RNA", at positions 8 to 250 of the family's 1533-position model. The record is from RNAcentral.